GCAUGUGCAUACAAUUACAUGUGACUAUACAUGUAUGUGGACAUGUAGGUGUGCAUGUGUGAAGAUAUUGGCAUGGCUGCUAGGAUGUGUUUCUAGGAUCAUGUGAGUCUUGUGCUUGCUCAUAUGUCGGCUUUCAUGUAUACAGGCUUCUCUGGUGAAUCCAGUGGUUUAGUGAAACAGGACACUAAACCAACUGAGUGAAGAGACUUCGGUUUUUGUUCAACUAUGCAGGAAGUCCAACAGCCCACCUUCACUGCUGAUUAUGAAAGCUUUGGGAAUCGCACAUCCUCAGGCAGCCCAGAGGUCCACCAUAUUGGUGCCAGACGGAGUCAACACCUAAUGGGUUUAACCCUACUAUAACUCAGAACUCUCAACUCAAGCAAAUCCACCAGCUUCAGCCUCCUCAGGGCAGGGGCUAGAGACAUGCACCAUCGUGCCUGGCAAGAUAAUUCAUGUAAAGUGCUUUGGGAAUCUAAAGUGAUAUAUGAAGGUUAAAUAUUAUACAUACACACGUGUGUGUGUGUAUAAAGCUUUGUUAUCAUUUA
This is a long non-coding RNA of Monodelphis domestica (gray short-tailed opossum), 545 nucleotides long. RefSeq lists it as uncharacterized. The record is from RefSeq and is a predicted model, not a curated record. NCBI's taxonomy places the organism in Eukaryota, Metazoa, Chordata, Mammalia, Didelphimorphia, Didelphidae.